UAGCUCAGUUGGUGGAGCAUGGCGCUAGCAGCACCAGGGUUGUGGGUUCGAUUCCCAC
RNAcentral lists this transfer RNA (58 nucleotides) under Salmo salar (Atlantic salmon). It matches the Rfam family "tRNA", at positions 8 to 63 of the family's 71-position model. Rfam says of the family: Transfer RNA (tRNA) molecules are approximately 80 nucleotides in length. Their secondary structure includes four short double-helical elements and three loops (D, anti-codon, and T loops). Further hydrogen bonds mediate the characteristic L-shaped molecular structure. tRNAs have two regions of fundamental functional importance: the anti-codon, which is responsible for specific mRNA codon recognition, and the 3' end, to which the tRNAs corresponding amino acid is attached (by aminoacyl-tRNA synthetases). tRNAs cope with the degeneracy of the genetic code in two manners: having more than one tRNA (with a specific anti-codon) for a particular amino acid; and 'wobble' base-pairing, i.e. permitting non-standard base-pairing at the 3rd anti-codon position. The record is from Rfam by way of RNAcentral. Lineage: Eukaryota; Metazoa; Chordata; Actinopteri; Salmoniformes; Salmonidae.